GACGAACGCUGGCGGCGUGCUUAACACAUGCAAGUCGAACGGAAAGGCCUGCUUUUGUGGGGUGCUCGAGUGGCGAACGGGUGAGUAACACGUGAGUAACCUGCCCUUGACUUUGGGAUAACUUCAGGAAACUGGGGCUAAUACCGGAUAGGAGCUCCUGCUGCAUGGUGGGGGUUGGAAAGUUUCGGCGGUUGGGGAUGGACUCGCGGCUUAUCAGCUUGUUGGUGGGGUAGUGGCUUACCAAGACUUUGACGGGUAGCCGGCCUGAGAGGGUGACCGGCCACAUUGGGACUGAGAUACGGCCCAGACUCCUACGGGAGGCAGCAGUGGGGAAUAUUGCACAAUGGGCGGAAGCCUGAUGCAGCAACGCCGCGUGCGGGAUGACGGCCUUCGGGUUGUAAACCGCUUUCGCCUGUGACGAAGCGUGAGUGACGGUAAUGGGUAAAGAAGCACCGGCUAACUACGUG
This 467-nucleotide ribosomal RNA is filed under the name uncultured bacterium. RNAcentral describes it as "partial 16S ribosomal RNA". It matches the Rfam family "Bacterial small subunit ribosomal RNA", at positions 28 to 507 of the family's 1533-position model. The record is from RNAcentral.